GGUCUGAUUUAAGAUCAAGAUUCAUUUUUAAUAUAGCCAAAAACCAAUCACAAUCAGAAUAAUCCCUUUUCAAAAAAAAAAAAAUUACAAGAAUACACAGAUAAGAAAUUAUCCAUCCUGAAAAAUAGAUAUUCAAAGUUAAAUAAAUCUUACUGUUCUCCUUAAGAGUUGCAAGAAGAACCCUAACCUAAAUCUUAGAACGCACGCAAGGAGUAUGAUUUUGCAAAAGCACGCGUUGGGCCGAUUUAAAAUAAAUGGGCCUCUUAACCAAAUUAAAAUCAGUAAACCGGAACCUAUUUAUGAUUUUGCUCUUAAUCCGGUUUACGAGUCAGACGGAGAGUGUAUCUGCGAUGUCGUUAAACCCUAGCAACGGCGGAAUCGACGAAGCGAAGAUGAAGAAGAAGGCGAAGGUGGUGGUCAUAAUGGGCCCCACGGGAUCAGGGAAAUCGAAGCUAGCCGUAGACUUGGCGUCUCACUUCCCGGUGGAGAUAAUAAACGCCGACGCAAUGCAGAUCUACAGUGGCCUCGACGUUCUCACCAACAAAGUCACCGUCAACGAGCAGAAAGGAGUGACUCAUCAUCUACUUGGGACGGUGAGCCCAGAUUUGGAGUUCACUGCUAAGGACUUUCGAGAUUCUACCAUUCCUCUUAUUGAGGAGAUCCUUUCUCGAAAUCACGUUCCUGUUCUUGUUGGAGGAACUAAUUAUUAUAUACAGGCUCUUGUGAGUAAGUUUCUCCUCGAGGAUUCAACAGAAGAUGUGGAUGAGUGCUGUUCAAAUGUUGCUCCAGGCUUGGAUGUGGAGUCUAUCUCUGGGAGAGAUGAUUUGAGCCAUGGUUAUGACCUUCUUAAAGAGCUGGAUCCUGUGGCAGCAAACAGAGUUCACCCUAAUAAUCACAGAAAAAUUAAUCAAUACCUGAGCUUGCAUGCUAGCAGAGGAGUUCUUCCAAGCAAGCUAUAUCAGGAAAACGCUGCAGAGAACUGGGGAUGCAUCGAUGCCUCCUCUCGGUUUGAUUACUGUUUGAUAUGUAUGGAUGCUGAAACCACGGUGCUGGACGAAUACGUUGGACAAAGAGUAGAUUCCAUGGUAGAUGCCGGACUACUUGACGAAGUCUAUGACAUCUACAAACCAGGAGCUGACUACACCAGAGGCCUAAGGCAGUCCAUAGGUGUCAGAGAGUUUGAAAACUUCCUCAAAACGUAUCUCCCAGACACAAAUAGCUCCGCUAAUGAUAAGGCCUUGAAGGAGAAUCUGAGGAAGAUUCUUGAUUCUCCAAAAGAUGAUAAGUUGAGGGUUAUGCUGGAGGAAGCAAUUGAUAGUGUCAAGUUAAAUACCAGAAGGCUCCUACGUCGUCAAAAAAGGAGAAUCAAUCGGCUAGAAACGGUCUUUGGGUGGAAUAUCCAUCACGUUGAUGCAACAGAGUGCUUACUAGGUAAGUAUACACACUGUGUCUCAUCAAUUCUUCAACUAAGGCAAACAAACUGUAACACCCGUCACCUCCUAUCUGGAGAACAGCGUGCCACCAACAAUAUCUCAUAGCAUAAUAACCCAUAUACACGACUCCACUCACCCUAAGCCCAAAUAAAAAUCCGAAAUAAAGCCCAGUAGCACCAAUCCAUCCAAAUAUCAUAUACUCGUCAGUCUCACCUGCAUGGGGGCAAAUGAGGGGUGAGUAACAGGUGAGUUACCCAGUGAGGUAUGGGGAUACUAAACCCGAAGUCCAUGGACCCGGACAGAGCACUCCGAAUAAAUAUAAUUUAAUCCUAACACGUUGCAAACACGGUACCUAAAGUACCCAAAGAUCAAACAAUGGUCCUAGCGAGGUGCACACUCGCUGCCCACUAACAGGCCAAAAACACCACCGAAUAUGUGCUCGGUAACACACGCCCGUAGACGAUUUAUCGACCUCUGAAGCCUUGGCACAACAGGUCGACUAAGCUGUGCCGCAGCAUACACCACACCCAAUGUACUGGUCUCCAGCCGACACACAGAAUUACGUCUCCAUGGUCAGCUAACACCCAAAUCACCUCAAUAUACUAUAUACAUAUAUAUUAUCAAUUAUCAAUGAACAAGCAGUGUUGAACCAUCUAACAAUCCUAGUUCCGGUUUAAGCAAAGAACCUAAAAACUAAACAAGCAAUGACAGACUCGAUUUCACACAGACGGAAACACAUUAGAAAUAAAUUAUACUUAUUCGAGGUCCUAAACCGUGUAAGAGAAACUCGAGAAAAGACCCUCACCUUAGCCAAGAUCACAAAAUGCUCGGGAACACUAGGCUUUAAAAGGAAUUACUUGUCUUACAAGUCAUACCUACACCUCAUGGUUGAUUCCUACGCAUAGCCAAUUAGGAAUUAUAAUACUUAGGUUAAUUGCACCACAAGUAAUAAAUAUGAUAGCACUUAAUUACCAAACACGUGAUGAUACGGUUGAGAAACUUAACUAACACGUGCUUGGAUCAUGAGAUCAUGGUAAACAUGGCACGGCUUGGAUCACGGUAAUGGGUCUCGGACUCCGGCGGUGUAAACUACAUCUCUGGUGACACGCCGCAGCUCUCCGUAACAUGGCUUGCUCUUCCUAUGGCUCGUGGUUAACGAUGGAGGUGGCCGAUGGUAAUGAGAUGCAUCGGCUGGAAUCGUCUUACUCUUGGCUCAUGGUAACAACACAGAGACAACGGCUGGUGAUAGAGAGAUGGGCUCCAGCAGUGGACAUAGCUUCCCGAUGAACAACACAUAGUGAUGGCGCUACAAGAGAUGGCAAGUCUGAAGAGUCAUGGGAUGUGCAAGUGGUUAAACCGGCUACACAGAUCCUCCAGUCUUUUCUGAAAACAGAAACUGAAUUGAGUCAUGAUUCAACCUUGAGAAAGUCAAUGGAAAGAGAUCUAUGGAGUCAAUACGUUUGUGAGGUUUGUGGAAACAAGGUACUAAGAGGAAGACACGAGUGGGAUCAUCACACACAAGGCCGUGUACAUCGUAAGAGAACCGCACGAUUUAAAAAAGCUCAAAAUUUCGAAAACAGGGAGAAGCAAGAAGAAGAAGAAGUGGGGAUUUGCAGAGAGACAUCGUGAAAACUGAAAAAGGUUCAUUUAUGUUCAUAUUGGACCCAUUUAAAAGAAAAAGCCCAUCAAGGCAUUAUUACAAUUAAAGAUAAUAUUUUGGUAUUUGCAAAAUUGUAUUCAUCUAUGGCAUUUCAAUUUUUUUUAGUCGUAAAA
Molecule: RNA transcript, 3206 nt
Organism: Brassica rapa (field mustard)
Lineage: Eukaryota; Viridiplantae; Streptophyta; Magnoliopsida; Brassicales; Brassicaceae
Gene name: tRNA dimethylallyltransferase 2
Source: RefSeq, a predicted model, not a curated record